Molecule: long non-coding RNA, 273 nt
Filed under: Homo sapiens (human)
Lineage: Eukaryota; Metazoa; Chordata; Mammalia; Primates; Hominidae
Description: HSALNT0285374
Source: RNAcentral
CCAGGCUUUAGGUUCUUUUGGUGAGUAGACGAUAUCUGAAGUGCUGCACCCACAUUAUGACUAUGUGAUCAUAUUUAUUUGGAGAAAACAAAAAACCCACAACCCACAGGAUGGGAUUUUACAUCAAGACAUCUCCCAGGCUGAAGCCCCUUCACCUUCUGCCAUGAGUGGAAGCAGCCUGAGGACCUCACCAAAGGCAGAUUCUGGUGCCAUGCUCCUUGUCCAAUCUGCAGAACUAUGAGCCAAAUAAACCAUUUUUCUUUAUAAAUUACC